UGAACGCUGGCGGCGUGCCUAAUACAUGCAAGUCGAGCGAACAGACGAGGAGCUUGCUCCUUUGACGUUAGCGGCGGACGGGUGAGUAACACGUGGGUAACCUACCUAUAAGACUGGGAUAACUUCGGGAAACCGGAGCUAAUACCGGAUAAUAUUUCGAACCGCAUGGUUCGAUAGUGAAAGAUGGCUUUGCUAUCACUUAUAGAGGGACCUGCGCCGUAUUAGCUAGUUGGUAAGGUAACGGCUUACCAAGGCAACGAUACGUAGCCGACCUGAGAGGGUGAUCGGCCACACUGGAACUGAGACACGGUCCAGACUCCUACGGGAGGCAGCAGUAGGGAAUCUUCCGCAAUGGGCGAAAGCCUGACGGAGCAACGCCGCGUGAGUGAUGAAGGUCUUCGGAUCGUAAAACUCUGUUAUUAGGGAAGAACAAACGUGUAAGUAACUGUGCACGUCUUGACGGUACCUAAUCAGAAAGCCACGGCUAACUACGUGCCAGCAGCCGCGGUAAUACGUAGGUGGCAAGCGUUAUCCGGAAUUAUUGGGCGUAAAGCGCGCGUAGGCGGUUUUUUAAGUCUGGUGUGAAAGCCCACGGCUCAACCGUGGAGGGUCAUUGGAAACUGGAAAACUUGAGUGCAGAAGAGGAAAGUGGAAUUCCAUGUGUAGCGGUGAAAUGCGCAGAGAUAUGGAGGAACACCAGUGGCGAAGGCGACUUUCUGGUCUGUAACUGACGCUGAUGUGCGAAAGCGUGGGGAUCAAACAGGAUUAGAUACCCUGGUAGUCCACGCCGUAAACGAUGAGUGCUAAGUGUUAGGGGGUUUCCGCCCCUUAGUGCUGCAGCUAACGCAUUAAGCACUCCGCCUGGGGAGUACGACCGCAAGGUUGAAACUCAAAGGAAUUGACGGGGACCCGCACAAGCGGUGGAGCAUGUGGUUUAAUUCGAAGCAACGCGAAGAACCUUACCAAAUCUUGGCAUCCUUUGACCCUUCUAGAGAUAGAAGUUUCCCCUUCGGGGGACAAAGUGACAGGUGGUGCAUGGUUGUCGUCAGCUCGUGUCGUGAGAUGUUGGGUUAAGUCCCGCAACGAGCGCAACCCUUAAGCUUAGUUGCCAUCAUUAAGUUGGGCACUCUAAGUUGACUGCCGGUGACAAACCGGAGGAAGGUGGGGAUGACGUCAAAUCAUCAUGCCCCUUAUGAUUUGGGCUACACACGUGCUACAAUGGACAAUACAAAGGGCAGCGAAACCGCGAGGUCAAGCAAAUCCCAUAAAGUUGUUCUCAGUUCGGAUUGUAGUCUGCAACUCGACUACAUGAAGCUGGAAUCGCUAGUAAUCGUAGAUCAGCAUGCUACGGUGAAUACGUUCCCGGGUCUUGUACACACCGCCCGUCACACCACGAGAGCUUGUAACACCCGAAGCCGGUGGAGUAACCAUUUGGAGCUAGCCGUCGAAGGUGGGACAAGUGAUUGGGGUGAAGUCGUAACAAGGUAGCCGUAUCGGAAGG
This 1501-nucleotide ribosomal RNA is filed under the name uncultured bacterium. RNAcentral's name for it is "16S ribosomal RNA". It matches the Rfam family "Bacterial small subunit ribosomal RNA". The record is from RNAcentral.